UAAAGAUUCAUCGCUGAUAGAUAGGCAUGCGUUCCAUUAGGCAGUUGGCGGGGUAACGACCCACCAAACCGACGAUGGAUAGGGGUUCUGAGAGGAAGGUCCCCCACAUUGGUACUGAGACACGGACCAAACUCCUACGGGAGGCAGCAGUGAGGAAUAUUGGUCAAUGGGCGUAAGCCUGAACCAGCCAAGUCGCGUGAGGGAUGAAGGUUCUAUGGAUCGUAAACCUCUUUUAUAAGGGAAUAAAGUGUGGGACGUGUCCUGUUUUGUAUGUACCUUAUGAAUAAGGAUCGGCUAACUCCGUGCCAGCAGCCGCGGUAAUACGGAGGAUCCGAGCGUUAUCCGGAUUUAUUGGGUUUAAAGGGUGCGUAGGCGGCCUUUUAAGUCAGCGGUGAAAGUCUGUGGCUCAACCAUAGAAUUGCCGUUGAAACUGGGAGGCUUGAGUAUGUUUGAGGCAGGCGGAAUGCGUGGUGUAGCGGUGAAAUGCUUAGAUAUCACGCAGAACCCCGAUUGCGAAGGCAGCCUGCCAAGCCAUGACUGACGCUGAUGCACGAAAGCGUGGGGAUCAAACAGGAUUAGAUACCCUGGUAGUCCACGCAGUAAACGAUGAUCACUAGCUGUUUGCGAUACAGUGUAA
RNAcentral lists this ribosomal RNA (637 nucleotides) under uncultured bacterium. Its description in RNAcentral is "bacterial SSU rRNA". It matches the Rfam family "Bacterial small subunit ribosomal RNA", at positions 202 to 842 of the family's 1533-position model. The record is from RNAcentral.